Molecule: unclassified non-coding RNA, 145 nt
Filed under: uncultured Ascomycota
Lineage: Eukaryota; Fungi; Ascomycota
Description: sequence contains ITS1
Source: RNAcentral
CUGAGUGAGCGCUCUCGGGCGCGACCUCCAACCCUUUGUAUUCCGACCACGUUGCCUCGGGGGCGACCCGGCCUUCGGGCGUUGGGGCCCCCGGUGGACAUCCAACUCUGCAUCUUUGCGUCUGAGUAUGAUAUUGAAUCAAUUA